GGCCAUAACUCAGUGGCAGAACACCUGCUUGGCAUGCAGAACGUCCCAGGUUUAUUCCCUGGCAAUUCCUGGUAGGGCUA
Podarcis lilfordi (Lilford's wall lizard) is the source of this 80-nucleotide non-coding RNA. Lineage: Eukaryota; Metazoa; Chordata; Lepidosauria; Squamata; Lacertidae. The record is from the annotation of a GenBank genome assembly.